This is a long non-coding RNA of Mus musculus (house mouse), 1523 nucleotides long. RefSeq annotates it as predicted gene, 36680. The transcript has 3 exons. The record is from RefSeq and is a predicted model, not a curated record. Lineage: Eukaryota; Metazoa; Chordata; Mammalia; Rodentia; Muridae.
AUCGGACAUCUUAGCAACAGGCUUUCUCCUAGCUCCUGUUCAAGACCUACAUGUGGACCAAUCAAGACCCCUGUGCAGUUGGAAGCAGCUCCCCACACAGAUAUCGUAGAGAUAAGUGUCAUGGAAGUUAAAGGAUAUGCUGUUAGCCGAUGCUUAUCUCCAAUCAAAUACCUCCAUGGUACCAACAUGUCUCAUCCACCCUAGCGCACAUACACAGCUUCAGUCGUGACAUUUGUCAUAGAUACAGGCAAUUUCAGAUAUGCCUGAAGAAUUAAGAAGCUUUCCUAUCCCAGUAACUCUGAUUUCAAAAUGAGACUUCAAGGGAAGAUUUUGAGAAACGCAGAAGUAUAAUAAAGCAGAACAGAUGUUAUUAUACAAAUGCUUCAUUGCUCUCUCAGUGGAAACAGCCUCCAACAUGGGUUUUAGAUCACGCUAGCUAUGAGCCAUGAUCUUUGAUCAAGAAAAAUCUAGUUGGUAGUAUUUUCCAAAAAAAAUUUUUAGAUCUCUUUAGUAAUAACAAAAGGAAUCCAGUUACUUUUAAGUGAUAGUCUAAUUCCUACAGAAGCAGAGGAACUUUAAGCCAAAAUAUAAAAACAAUAAAUUAAAGCAUUAACUAGAAAUCCCCAGGCAUCCAGGCAUCUUGACAAAAUGCUGACUUUACCGUCCUCUGGUGUCAUUUUGACUUGAAGCCCAUCAGGUGACUCAUAUUCCAAUGACUGCCACAGUGUCUCUGGUCCAAAUUGCUACAGGGUAGGGAAGUACUCUCUAGAUACUCAAAGCGAUUAAUAAACCCUGUUCAGAAAAACUUGUAACGGCCACACCUUGAGGAAGACACAGUGUCUCAUAUGAGCCCUUCUUGGAAUGGAUCUACAUUCUGCCUGAAUCUUAAAAGCAAAAGCAAAACAAACAAUUUUGAAAAUGGAUUAUAGUUGCUCACUUAGUUUUUUGUGCGUGUGUGCAAUGAUAUUGGGCAUUUAUUCAAAACAUUGUUAAUUUCUUCUUACCUGGAGAUGAGAAUGCCUAUAGGGUUAUUCUUGAGGGUGAUACCACAGAGUUUAGAGUAUGCUCCGUUCCCUGAGGUCUCUCUGUGUUCAAGCUCCAUCACUGGGAGAAAGUGCUCUGGACACUGCCAUAUGGGAUGCAGGAGUGUGGGGCAACAUUUAGGUACAAAACCACACUCACCUAAAAAUCACUACUAUACAAUAAUAUGGAAAAUUCUACUGAGAUAAGAUUUUAAAGAAAUGUUCAUAGUAAUUUAUAAUUUUAGCCGUUACUUUUAACUGACUUCUGCAGGCUCCUGCACAUGGAGGCAACUGCUCCAUUGCUCCACCUCCACCAGGAAGAGAGAGAAUGAAGGAUUAGCAAGUCCUUAUACAUCUUCAGAGGACUAUUUGUGAGAUGCAGGCAACUCAUAACCACUGUCAGCUGGAAAACAGUGAAGAGGCCUGAUGGGUCUCAGUCCAUAGACUUCAGAGAGCAUGCCUAGUGUGUAUGAAGCCCAGGCUUCAUCUCCAAUACAUAAA